Molecule: ribosomal RNA, 253 nt
Filed under: uncultured bacterium
Lineage: Bacteria
Description: partial 16S ribosomal RNA
Rfam family: Bacterial small subunit ribosomal RNA
Source: RNAcentral
UACAGAGGUCCCAAGCGUUGUUCGGAUUCACUGGGCGUAAAGGGUGCGUAGGUGGUGGGGUAAGUCGGAUGUGAAAGCUCGGAGCUCAACUCCGAAAUGGCAUUGGAAACUACCCUGCUUGAGGGUCGGAGGGGGGACUGGAAUUCUCGGUGUAGCAGUGAAAUGCGUAGAUAUCGAGAGGAACACCAGUGGCGAAGGCGAGUCCCUGGACGACUCCUGACACUGAAGCACGAAAGCUAGGGGAGCAAACAGG